CAUAAUUCUAUGCAAAAACAUCCCUCUGGUCCUCAUGUUUUCUCUUCGGAUCCUUCUCAGAUCCCUAAUCCUCCAUCGGCCUUCUCGACCUCUCCAGCCGGCGAGCGACGCUGUCGGCGGUCCUGGCCAGAUCCGGUGUUGGCUCCCCUCCACAGCUUCUUCUCCCUACCUCCUGUCUUCCGCUCCGGCUUCAAGGUCGCGUGGAUCCGCCUCCCGGCCAGGCCCAACGUCGCGCGGCGCAUCAUCGCAGGGAUUCGUCGGCCGUCGCUAGUCGUCCUCGUCGAUGGCCGCGGCCGCCUCGCGCACAACUGCCUAGGUCACCGUCUGGCCUCCACCAUGCCGGACUCCGAUGGGUUCGCGACAGAUCCGAAGACCCGCGGCACAGAGUUGUUAGAGAAUACGCAGCCCAGACGGCUACACGCGCCAGCUCUUCUUCCUGACUCCAUCCCCUCACUGGCUCAGUAUCAAGGCAUAUGAAGUUCCAAGAGCAAGAAACAGUAUAACUGGCGGCAAGAGAAGAACAUUCUGUCAUAUACCAUCAGGAUAGCAAAGCUGACACAAUUUUUUAAAGCAAUGCUUGUUCAGUUGUGAUCCUUAAGUCCUUUGCACUCAUUCUUACUGGUCAUGCACUAGAAAUGAUCAUGUCAACUUAUGUAUCACUUCAUAUGUAUGUAUGUCUCUUGUGGAUGCGCCAGAUUGACAAAUAUGUGUGCUCAGGAAGGGUCUAGUUUGACGUGUACUCGAAUAUUUGUGCAACUGAUGGUCUAGCUUGACAUGUACUCAAAUAAUUCCAAUAUUUGUGCUUGGAAUUGUCCAGUCUAACAUGUGCCUGAAAUGGU
This 839-nucleotide ribosomal RNA is filed under the name Triticum aestivum (bread wheat). RNAcentral's name for it is "partial small subunit ribosomal RNA". The record is from RNAcentral. Lineage: Eukaryota; Viridiplantae; Streptophyta; Magnoliopsida; Poales; Poaceae.